Molecule: small nuclear RNA, 196 nt
Filed under: Solanum tuberosum (potato)
Lineage: Eukaryota; Viridiplantae; Streptophyta; Magnoliopsida; Solanales; Solanaceae
Description: snRNA U2
Rfam family: U2 spliceosomal RNA
About the family: U2 is a small nuclear RNA (snRNA) component of the spliceosome (involved in pre-mRNA splicing).
Source: Rfam by way of RNAcentral
AUACCUUUCUCGGCCUUUUGGCUAAGAUCAAGUGUAGUAUCUGUUCUUAUCAGUUUAAUAUCUGAUAUGUGAGUCAUUGACUCACACGAUAUUAAGUCAAUUUUUUAAGGGGGAAGAUCCAUUAGAGUAGCUUGCUACUUGGGCCUUCGUGCGUCGCCUAGGUGUUGCACUAUUGCCUUGGCCUGGCGCACCCCAC